UGGGGAAUAUUGGACAAUGGGCGAAAGCCUGAUCCAGCCAUGCCGCGUGUGUGAAGAAGGUCUUCGGAUUGUAAAGCACUUUAAGUUGGGAGGAAGGGCAGUAAGCGAAUACCUUGCUGUUUUGACGUUACCGACAGAAUAAGCACCGGCUAACUCUGUGCCAGCAGCCGCGGUAAUACAGAGGGUGCAAGCGUUAAUCGGAAUUACUGGGCGUAAAGCGCGCGUAGGUGGUUCGGUAAGUUGAAUGUGAAAGCCCCGGGCUCAACCUGGGAACUGCAUCCAAAACUGGCGAGCUAGAGUAGGGCAGAGGGUGGUGGAAUUUCCGGUGUAUCGGAGAAAUGCGUAGAUAUAGGAAGGAACACCAGUGGCGAAGGCGACCACCUGGGCUCAUACUGACACUGAGGUGCGAAAGCGUGGGGAGCAAACAGG
This 429-nucleotide ribosomal RNA is filed under the name Pseudomonadota bacterium. RNAcentral's name for it is "Proteobacteria bacterium partial 16S ribosomal RNA". It matches the Rfam family "Bacterial small subunit ribosomal RNA", at positions 355 to 776 of the family's 1533-position model. The record is from RNAcentral. Lineage: Bacteria; Pseudomonadati; Pseudomonadota.